Molecule: ribosomal RNA, 253 nt
Filed under: uncultured bacterium
Lineage: Bacteria
Description: partial 16S ribosomal RNA
Rfam family: Bacterial small subunit ribosomal RNA
Source: RNAcentral
UACGAAGGGGGCUAGCGUUGUUCGGAAUUACUGGGCGUAAAGCGCACGUAGGCGGGUCUUUAAGUCAGGGGUGAAAUCCUGGAGCUCAACUCCAGAACUGCCUUUGAUACUGAAGAUCUUGAGUUCGGGAGAGGUGAGUGGAACUGCGAGUGUAGAGGUGAAAUUCGUAGAUAUUCGCAAGAACACCAGUGGCGAAGGCGGCUCACUGGCCCGAUACUGACGCUGAGGUGCGAAAGCGUGGGGAGCAAACAGG